AUUCAAACACACAAACGUUUUAAUGAGUUCGCAGGUUUGUAAGGGCGAAACAUACAAACUUAUCAAUGUAAUCAUACAUUCGUAUCUAUAACAUAUGUAACAGAUACAAAAGUAUGAACUAUCUAUAUGUUCGUGUCUUAUCAAUACUUUCUUGUGAAUUCAUCAAGAACACAUGAGACAUGAACAACAUGAAGAACCUAGAAGAUAUAUAAACAAACUUACAAAUAUCUAUAUGUUCGUAUGAGAUAGUGAAACAAACGUACCACCAACGCCUACGUUCGUCCUAAUGGGUCGUGAACACAACGACCGCAUCGACAAGGAAAACGAAUGAAUUACCACGUCAUGCAUUCUUCUAGGUGACGUGAACAAAACAUUUGUAUGAGGCAGUGAAACAAAUGUACCGCCACGACAGGUGUUCGUCUCGGUGGGACAUGAACAAAACGUCUGUAUCUGAGACAAUCCAUAAAAAAUUAACAACGAACAUAAUGAAGAACAUAAAAAAUCAAGAACAACCAAAUCCAAAAGAACACAAAGAACAUGAGGUUAAAAGAUAGCUCACCUACCUUUCCGAAAUUUUUGUUUCUUCGUGCAAAGAUCCGUCAAAACAAACCUAAAUCGAUCAUCAAUUCAAAGAAAUCGAGAGAGAAAAACUCAGAGCAACCAAAACCAUAAAAACUCGAAGAAUAUGAAGAACAAGAGCAAGAAAUGAAGAUAACCCAUAUUUUCGAGGUUUGUUUACACUCUUCUAUUGUUUUUCUUGUGCAAAGAUCCAUCUUGAUAGUUCUAAGAUCCAUCUUGAAGAGUAAAAAAUGAAUUCCAAUCUAACAUUCAUUCAAAAAAAUUCAGAGGAAAAAGGGCAGAAACUAGAAAGAGAAGUGGAAAAAAGUUUGAAUCUGGAAAUUUUGAAUUAGAAAGAGGAAUAUAUGAGUGGUUAAGGUAUUUAUAAUAUUCAUUUCUAUUUUUUAAUAUCCUCUCGUAUGUUUACCGGAUGCGAACAUGUUUUCUCGUGUGCUUUUCGGAUACGAACG
This 1028-nucleotide long non-coding RNA is filed under the name Linum usitatissimum (flax). RNAcentral describes it as "long non-coding RNA (LUSI_LNC002774)". Lineage: Eukaryota; Viridiplantae; Streptophyta; Magnoliopsida; Malpighiales; Linaceae. The record is from RNAcentral.